This 280-nucleotide unclassified non-coding RNA is filed under the name uncultured fungus. RNAcentral describes it as "partial contains small subunit ribosomal RNA, internal transcribed spacer 1, and 5.8S ribosomal RNA". The stretch from base 1 to 73 matches the Rfam family "Eukaryotic small subunit ribosomal RNA", at positions 1759 to 1831 of the family's 1831-position model. Lineage: Eukaryota; Fungi. The record is from RNAcentral.
ACAAACUUGGUCAUUUAGAGGAAGUAAAAGUCAUAACAAGGUUUCUGUAGGUGAACCUGCAGAAGGAUCAUUAGAGAAUUUUUAGGGAUUGAUUUCGAUCUUCCCGAACCUUCUUUUUCAUCCUAAACACCUGUGCAUUUGUUUGUUUGUGUGGAAACACAUAAACAAACAAACAAUUUAUCACACAAACUCUAUGUUUUUUUGAACGUAAAAAUAUUUUAACAAAUAUACAACUUUUGACAACGGAUCUCUUGGUUCUCCCAUCGAUGAAGAACGCAGC